RNAcentral lists this ribosomal RNA (495 nucleotides) under uncultured bacterium. RNAcentral describes it as "partial 16S ribosomal RNA". It matches the Rfam family "Bacterial small subunit ribosomal RNA", at positions 30 to 507 of the family's 1533-position model. The record is from RNAcentral.
UGAACGCUGGCGGCGUGCCUAAUACAUGCAAGUCGAGCGAACAGACGAGGAGCUUGCUCCUUUGACGUUAGCGGCGGACGGGUGAGUAACACGUGGGUAACCUACCUAUAAGACUGGGAUAACUUCGGGAAACCGGAGCUAAUACCGGAUAAUAUUUCGAACCGCAUGGUUCGAUAGUGAAAGAUGGCUCUGCUAUCACUUAUAGAUGGACCUGCGCCGUAUUAGCUAGUUGGUAAGGUAACGGCUUACCAAGGCAACGAUACGUAGCCGACCUGAGAGGGUGAUCGGCCACACUGGAACUGAGACACGGUCCAGACUCCUACGGGAGGCAGCAGUAGGGAAUCUUCCGCAAUGGGCGAAAGCCUGACGGAGCAACGCCGCGUGAGUGAUGAAGGUCUUCGGAUCGUAAAACUCUGUUAUUAGGGAAGAACAAACGUGUAAGUAACUGUGCACGUCUUGACGGUACCUAAUCAGAAAGCCACGGCUAACUACGUG